This 331-nucleotide ribosomal RNA is filed under the name uncultured bacterium. Its description in RNAcentral is "bacterial SSU rRNA". It matches the Rfam family "Bacterial small subunit ribosomal RNA", at positions 568 to 898 of the family's 1533-position model. The record is from RNAcentral.
CGCGUAGGCGGAUGACACAGUCAGAUGUGAAAUUCCCGGGCUUAACCUGGGGGCUGCAUUUGAUACGUGUUGUCUAGAGUGAGGAAGAGGGUCGUGGAAUUCCCAGUGUAGAGGUGAAAUUCGUAGAUAUUGGGAAGAACACCGGUGGCGAAGGCGGCGACCUGGUCCUUUACUGACGCUGAGGCGCGAAAGCGUGGGGAGCAAACAGGAUUAGAUACCCUGGUAGUCCACGCUGUAAACGAUGUGUGCUGGAUGUUGGGCGACCUAGUCGCUCAGUGUCGUAGCUAACGCGAUAAGCACACCGCCUGGGGAGUACGGCCGCAAGGUUGAA